AGGUUAUUAUCUUCCCAGGUUUCUCCAUUUCUUUCUUCAGCAUGCUCUCUCGAGACAUAUCCCUCCAGUUGAUCCAUUCAUCCAAGAAUUUCUCUAAAGGUGAAGGAAUUAGAAAAUUGGAUAAUGAGGCCAGUUUUUUGUGCGAGUUUUGAAGAGAUCUUGAACGUCUCUUCUCUAAUUAUGGGAGCCGGGACUGUUGAUAGAAUUGACAUAAAAUUUGAAAACAAAUUUGUUAGGUACACAUGGACGUGGAGCAAUAAUAAAUCAAGCACGAGCCAGAAAGACAGUGAAUCGUGGUGGCACAACACACGGGGAUGUAGGAAUAUCGUUGUUUUACCAUUUUCUUAAUUUGUAUUACAUAACCGACCUUACAUUUAACAUUUGGAUUUGAUUAUAAUGGUGGUGAAUAAAUUAGGAUUUGAUUUUUGUG
This is a long non-coding RNA of Papaver somniferum (opium poppy), 430 nucleotides long. RefSeq lists it as uncharacterized. The record is from RefSeq and is a predicted model, not a curated record. NCBI's taxonomy places the organism in Eukaryota, Viridiplantae, Streptophyta, Magnoliopsida, Ranunculales, Papaveraceae. The transcript is spliced from 3 exons.